Oncorhynchus tshawytscha (Chinook salmon) is the source of this 380-nucleotide long non-coding RNA. The record is from Ensembl. Lineage: Eukaryota; Metazoa; Chordata; Actinopteri; Salmoniformes; Salmonidae.
GAAAUAGACAGUGGGAGAGAGAGCAGGAGAGAGAGAGAGACAGGACCAACACACUGGACAGCAAACAGGAGAGAGAGAAAUAGACAGUGGGAGAGAGAGAGAGAGAGAGAGAGAGAGAGACAGGACCAACACACUGGACAGCAAACAGGUGAGAGAGAGCGGGAGAGAGAGAGAUAGACAGGACCAACACACUGGACAGCAAACAGGUGAGAGAGAGCAGGAGAGAGAGAGGUAGACAGUGGGAGAGGGAGAGAGAGACAGGACCAACACACUGGACAGCAAACAGGUGAGAGAGAGCAGGAGAGAGAGAGAUAGACAGUGGGAGAGAGAGAGAGAGAGAGAGACAGGACCAACACACUGGACAGCAAACGGGUGAGAGA